GACGAAGCUCAGUGCUAAAGUGCUUGCCUGACAUGACUGAGGCCCUGGGUUCAAUCCCCAGUUCUGCA
Molecule: transfer RNA, 68 nt
Filed under: Marmota monax (woodchuck)
Lineage: Eukaryota; Metazoa; Chordata; Mammalia; Rodentia; Sciuridae
Description: tRNA.Val
Source: RNAcentral